RNAcentral lists this small RNA (28 nucleotides) under Bombyx mori (domestic silkworm). RNAcentral's name for it is "piRNA piR-bmo-1832890". The record is from RNAcentral. Lineage: Eukaryota; Metazoa; Arthropoda; Insecta; Lepidoptera; Bombycidae.
UUCCUAUCAUCCUGAUGAUGUUCAGCGU